This 482-nucleotide ribosomal RNA is filed under the name uncultured bacterium. Its description in RNAcentral is "partial 16S ribosomal RNA". It matches the Rfam family "Bacterial small subunit ribosomal RNA", at positions 30 to 507 of the family's 1533-position model. The record is from RNAcentral.
AUUGAACGCUGGCGGCAUGCCUUACACAUGCAAGUCGAACGGUAACGGGCCUUCGGGUGCCGACGAGUGGCGAACGGGUGAGUAAUACAUCGGAACGUGCCCGAUCGUGGGGGAUAACGAGGCGAAAGCUUUGCUAAUACCGCAUACGAUCUACGGAUGAAAGCAGGGGACCGCAAGGCCUUGCGCGGACGGAGCGGCCGAUGGCAGAUUAGGUAGUUGGUGGGAUAAAAGCUUACCAAGCCGACGAUCUGUAGCUGGUCUGAGAGGAUGAUCAGCCACACUGGGACUGAGACACGGCCCAGACUCUUACGGGAGGCAGCAGUGGGGAAUUUUGGACAAUGGGCGCAAGCCUGAUCCAGCCAUGCCGCGUGCAGGAUGAAGGCCUUCGGGUUGUAAACUGCUUUUGUACGGAACGAAAAGCCUUCUUUUAAUACAGGAGGGUCAUGACGGUACCGUAAGAAUAAGCACCGGCUAACUACGUG